Molecule: small RNA, 557 nt
Filed under: Arabidopsis thaliana (thale cress)
Lineage: Eukaryota; Viridiplantae; Streptophyta; Magnoliopsida; Brassicales; Brassicaceae
Description: ATSL265490
Source: RNAcentral
AAAAACCCGCCAAACUUUUUUUCUCGUAAAUUUUUUUUCGCAGCCAAAAAAAUGCUUUUAAAAAUCCUUGUAAAUUUUUUAAAAGCUUUUUAAAAAAACCUUGUAAAGUUUUUUAAAAGCUUUGGUAGUUGUUAAAAAUUCUUGUAAUUCAUUUUAAAACCUCUUAAAAUCUUUAUAAAGUUUUUAAAAACAUAUGUAAAUACUUUAAAACCCCUUUUUAAACCUUUGUAAAUCAUUUUAAAACCUUUUACAAUAGUCUUACAAGAUUUGCAAUCGUUUGUUAAGCAUAAGUAAGUGGCAUUGAAUGAUUUACAAGGGAUUUUAAAAGCUUAUAAAAGGGUAAAACAUGAUUACAAUCGUUUUUAAAGCAUAAGUAAGUGGCAUAUAAUGAUUUACAAGGGAUUUUAAAAGUGUUUGCAUGGUUUACAAUCGUUUUUAAAGCAUAAGUAAGUGACAUUGAAUGAUUUACAAGGGAUUUUAAAAGCUUUUAAACCUUUGUAAAUCCUUUUAAAACUCUUAUAAAGUUUUUACAAGCAUUUUUUAACUCUUAGAAAAAA